This 468-nucleotide ribosomal RNA is filed under the name uncultured bacterium. RNAcentral's name for it is "partial 16S ribosomal RNA". It matches the Rfam family "Bacterial small subunit ribosomal RNA", at positions 28 to 507 of the family's 1533-position model. The record is from RNAcentral.
GACGAACGCUGGCGGCGUGCUUAACACAUGCAAGUCGAACGGAAAGGCCCUGCUUUUGUGGGGUGCUCGAGUGGCGAACGGGUGAGUAACACGUGAGUAACCUGCCCUUGACUUUGUGAUAACUUCAGGAAACUGGGGCUAAUACCGGAUAUGAGCUCCUGCUGCAUGGUGGGGGUUGGAAAGUUUCGGCGGUUGGGGAUGGACUCGCGGCUUAUCAGCUUGUUGGUGGGGUAGUGGCUUACCAAGGGUUUGACGGGUAGCCGGCCUGAGAGGGGGACCGGGCACAUUGCGACUGAGAGACGGAGCAGACUGCUACGUGAGGCAGCAGUGGGGAAUAUGGCAGAAUGGGCGGAAGCCUGAUGCAGCAACGCCGCGUGCGGGAUGACGGCCUUCGGGUUGUAAACCGCUUUCGCCUGUGACGAAGCGUGAGUGACGGUAAUGGGUAAAGAAGCACCGGCUAACUACGUG